UACGUAGGGUGCGAGCGUUAAUCGGAAUUGCUGGGCGUAAAGCGUGCGCAGGCGGCGCGUUAAGACAGGUGUGAAAGCCCCCGGCUUAACCGGGGAGGGUCGUUGGGGACGGCGGGGCUUGAGGGCGGGAGAGGUCGGUGGAAUUCCCGGUGUAGUGGUGAAAUGCGUAGAGAUCGGGAGGAACACCUGUGGCGAAGGCGGCCGACUGGGCCGACCCUGACGCUGAGGCGCGAAGGCGUGGGGAGCGAACGGG
Molecule: ribosomal RNA, 253 nt
Filed under: uncultured bacterium
Lineage: Bacteria
Description: partial 16S ribosomal RNA
Rfam family: Bacterial small subunit ribosomal RNA
Source: RNAcentral